Molecule: ribosomal RNA, 936 nt
Filed under: Strossmayeria bakeriana
Lineage: Eukaryota; Fungi; Ascomycota; Leotiomycetes; Helotiales
Description: partial small subunit ribosomal RNA
Rfam family: Bacterial small subunit ribosomal RNA (bases 139-936)
Source: RNAcentral
GUCAAAGCCUAACGGCUUGUACUCAGCAACUUGAAGGAAUGUAUAGCUUCGGCUAAUUAUAUUGUUUGUUUAAUAUGUUUUAAUAUAUUAUUCUUUUUGAUUUUUAUUAGCACUUUCCGUCAAUUAACUUAUCAUUAUUUAUAUUAUAAUUUUUUUGUAAUUAAUAGUGAACAAUAUAAUAUCGAUUUUAUCGAAUAAAAUUCUAGGUAUAAUACUGAUUAUGACAAUUUUAUAUCUAUAUGUCUUGACUAAAUUACGUGCCAGCAGUCGCGGUAAUACGUAAAAGACUAGUGUUAUUCAUCUUUAUUAGGUUUAAAGGGUACCUAGACGGUGUAAUUAGUCUUAAAUAGGAUACGGUUACACUAGAGUUAGAUGUAAGAAGGGGAGUAUUUAUGGAGUAGAGUUGAAAUUCUUUGAUACCAUAAGGACUGGUAAGGCGAAGGCAACCUUUUAUGUAAUAACUGACGUUGAGGGACGAAGGCUUGGGUAGCGAACAGGAUUAGAUACCCUAGUAGUCCUUGCAGAGAAUUAUGAAUGCCAUAGAUUAGAUUUAUAUUUAGUCUAUAAAUGAAAGUGUAAGCAUUUCACCUCAAGAGUAAUGUGGCAACGCAGGAACUGAAAUCAUUAGACCGUUUCUGAAACCAGUAGUGAAGUAUGUUAUUUAAUUCGUAAAUACGCGAAAAACCUUACCACAACUUGAAUAUUUUCUUUUUUUUUUAUCUUAUUAAGAAGAUGAAAAAUAAAAAUAGUGUAUUUAAAACAUAUUAUUUUUAAAGAGAUUACAAGCGUUGCACGGCUGUCUUCAGUUAAUGUCGUGAGAUAUUGGUUAAUUCCAUUUAAUUAACGGAAACCCUUGCUUUAUUUAUGAUUUUUUUUUAUAAAAGAAAUAAGGCAGUUCAUCUUUAUAGGAGACAAGAUAAUAGGACCAAGACAAGU